AACGAACGCUGGCGGCAUGCCUAACACAUGCAAGUCGAACGAGACCUUCGGGUCUAGUGGCGCACGGGUGCGUAACGCGUGGGAACCUGCCCUUAGGUUCGGAAUAACUCCCCGAAAGGGGUGCUAAUACCGGAUAAUGUCUUCGGACCAAAGAUUUAUCGCCUUUGGAUGGGCCCGCGUUGGAUUAGCUAGUUGGUAGGGUAAAAGCCUACCAAGGCGACGAUCCAUAGCUGGUCUGAGAGGAUGAUCAGCCACACUGGGACUGAGACACGGCCCAGACUCCUACGGGAGGCAGCAGUGGGGAAUAUUAGACGAUGGGCGAAAGCCUGAUCCAGCAAUGCCGCGUGAGUGAUGAAGGCCUUAGGGUUGUAAAGCUCUUUUACCCGGGAUGAUAAUGACAGUACCGGGAGAAUAAGCUCCGGCUAACUCCGUG
This 433-nucleotide ribosomal RNA is filed under the name uncultured bacterium. RNAcentral's name for it is "partial 16S ribosomal RNA". It matches the Rfam family "Bacterial small subunit ribosomal RNA", at positions 29 to 507 of the family's 1533-position model. The record is from RNAcentral.